AGCAACGUCAGGCUCUUCCAGAUCGCGUCAACCAUCCGUGAUUCAAGUCUUUUUCCCUCCACGGAUGAGUUCAGCUCAACUUCUCCACGUCCCAGCUACUUCCACGACCGUGCAUCUCAGCGUGAUCCUUAUCCAGAUACCAACUGCAAGUAUCCAAGGACCAGAGCCGAUCUCCCGUAUCAUGGCUUCCGAUUCAUCUUCCUAACAUUCACGGAUGAAUUCCUUCCACGCGAUCCAGCCUUCUGUUAUCCAUAAGCUUCAACUCCAACCUCUCGACGGAUCAGCAUCUUCCAAGAUCUCGCCAUUCAUCACGGACGUUAUCCAUCCUUCUCUAAGC
Molecule: long non-coding RNA, 337 nt
Filed under: Phoenix dactylifera (date palm)
Lineage: Eukaryota; Viridiplantae; Streptophyta; Magnoliopsida; Arecales; Arecaceae
Description: long non-coding RNA (PDAC_LNC015131)
Source: RNAcentral